RNAcentral lists this ribosomal RNA (492 nucleotides) under uncultured bacterium. RNAcentral's name for it is "partial 16S ribosomal RNA". It matches the Rfam family "Bacterial small subunit ribosomal RNA", at positions 29 to 507 of the family's 1533-position model. The record is from RNAcentral.
AUUGAACGCUGGCGGCAUGCUUUACACAUGCAAGUCGAACGGUAACAGGCCUUCGGGUGCUGACGAGUGGCGAACGGGUGAGUAAUACAUCGGAACGCACCCAGAGGUGGGGGAUAACGCAGCGAAAGCUGUGCUAAUACCGCAUGUGAUCUGAGGAUGAAAGCGGGGGACCGAGCAGCAAUGUUUGGCCUCGCGCCUUUGGAGCGGCCGAUGUCGGAUUAGCUAGUUGGUGGGGUAAAGGCCUACCAAGGCGACGAUCCGUAGCUGGUCUGAGAGGACGACCAGCCACACUGGGACUGAGACACGGCCCAGACUCCUACGGGAGGCAGCAGUGGGGAAUUUUGGACAAUGGGCGCAAACCUGAUCCAGCAAUGCCGCGUGCGGGAAGAAGGCCUUCGGGUUGUAAACCGCUUUUGGCAGGAACGAAACGGUGUCCGCUAAUACCGGGCGCUAAUGACGGUACCUGCAGAAUAAGCACCGGCUAACUACGUG